CUUGGAGGUUGUGCCCUUGAGGCGUGGCUUCCGGAGCUAACGCGUUAAGUCGACCGCCUGGGGAGUACGGCCGCAAGGUUAAAACUCAAAUGAAUUGACGGGGGCCCGCACAAGCGGUGGAGCAUGUGGUUUAAUUCGAUGCAACGCGAAGAACCUUACCUACUCUUGACAUCCACGGAACUUAGCAGAGAUGCUUUGGUGCCUUCGGGAACCGUGAGACAGGUGCUGCAUGGCUGUCGUCAGCUCGUUGUGAAAUGUUGGGUUAAGUCCCGCAACGAGCGCAACCCUUAUCCUUUGUUGCCAGCGGUUCGGCCGGGAACUCAAAGGAGACUGCCAGUGAUAAACUGGAGGAAGGUGGGGAUGACGUCAAGUCAUCAUGGCCCUUACGAGUAGGGCUACACACGUGCUACAAUGGCAUAUACAAAGAGAAGCGACCUCGCGAGAGCAAGCGGACCUCAUAAAGUAUGUCGUAGUCCGGAUUGGAGUCUGCAACUCGACUCCAUGAAGUCGGAAUCGCUAGUAAUCGUGGAUCAGAAUGCCACGGUGAAUACGUUCCCGGGCCUUGUACACACCGCCCGUCACACCAUGGGAGUGGGUUGCAAAAGAAGUAGGUAGCUUAACCUUCGGGAGGGCGCUUACCACUUUGUGAUUCAUGACUGGGGUGAAGUCGUAACAAGGUAACCGUAGGGGAACCUGCGGUUG
RNAcentral lists this ribosomal RNA (702 nucleotides) under Yokenella regensburgei. RNAcentral's name for it is "bacterial SSU rRNA". It matches the Rfam family "Bacterial small subunit ribosomal RNA", at positions 816 to 1520 of the family's 1533-position model. The record is from RNAcentral. Lineage: Bacteria; Pseudomonadati; Pseudomonadota; Gammaproteobacteria; Enterobacterales; Enterobacteriaceae.